RNAcentral lists this ribosomal RNA (450 nucleotides) under uncultured bacterium. RNAcentral's name for it is "partial 16S ribosomal RNA". It matches the Rfam family "Bacterial small subunit ribosomal RNA", at positions 354 to 796 of the family's 1533-position model. The record is from RNAcentral.
GUGGGGAAUCUUCCGCAAUGGACGAAAGUCUGACGGAGCGACGCCGCGUGAGUGAAGAAGGCCUUCGGGUCGUAAAGCUCUGUCAUCAGGGACGAACGGCCGGUGGAGUGGAAAGCCACCGGAUUGACGGUACCUGAGAAGGAAUCCACGGCUAACUACGUGCCAGCAGCCGCGGUAAUACGUCGGUGGCAAGCGUUGUCCGGUAUUAUUGGGCGUAAAGCGCGCGCAGGUGGGAUCUUAAGUCCAUUUUUAAAGUUCGGAGCUCAACGCGGUGAUGGGGUGGAAACUGGGAUUCUUGAGUACCGGAGAGGAAAGCGGAAUUCCCCGUGUAGCGGUGAAAUGCGUAGAUAUGGGGAGGAACACCAGUGGCGAAGGCGGCUUUCUGGACGGUGUCUGACACUGAGGCGCGAAAGCCAGGGGAGCGAACGGGAUUAGAAACCCCGGUAGUCC